UUUAUUUAUUAUAUUAUUAGUGUUUGAAAAUUCUAAUACUAGUAUUAAGAUAAACAAAAAUAUCAGAAAUAUAUUUAUACUCAUUAAUUAUUAUUGCUUUUCUUAUUAAUUCCUUCAAUGUCCUGGCACUUUGACAUCUAGUGCUUCUCUGUCUAGCAGCCAAAAUUGUGGUCUUUCUGAAUGUGUAUGUCCUAAGUCUUCAUUGAUGUAACUAGCUAUAUAACAUCAAAAUCUGCAUCUCUCUCCCUUCUCACCCAGUUGUCCCCGUACAUCCUUUCAGUAUCCAAAGAAUUUCAAUUUACAUCUUGUAAUCACUUAACUAAUGCAGUGCAAUCCUCAUCUCUGUAUUUUACCGUGUGGACAUACUCUUUCCUUCCAUGUUCCACUGUCGUAUGUUAUUCCACAUCUAAUACAACCACAUCCCAACAGAUCCGAACACGUUCGAUAUCAUCCAAGAGAAUGUGGCAGAUGAAGGGGAGAGUCCAAGAAAGAGGCCAAGGGUGAAGACAUUUAGCCACCCCCUGAAGUACAUGGCAGCAUCCAACCCUCUUGCUAUAUAGACUGCAGGAAUGUGCUCCCCAUUGCAGUGCACCAGCUCCAUGUACUGAUUUUGGGUGUGAACUUGAUGGGGUUGGAGGAAACUCGACUCGGCCAUCAAGCUCACCACAAUAUAACAUGAAAAGUGAAAAUUGCUGCACAAAACAGUCUGUCGUCUGCACCAGGAGGCAAGGCAGCUCAAAGCCCAGGCUGUUACAACUCCUGGGCAGUUUUUGCCCAGAGCCAGCAGUUUUUUAGAUCCAAUAGGGGUGGAUUAUUUCUGAGGUCAGGUUCAACAUGCUGCAAGAUGCCAAGAUCUAAGCCUAGUAGGAGAUAUGGGUUACAAGAGAGGAGGUUUGCUCUGGCCUUAUACUAUCAAAGUCCAAAUGCUAAUAGAUUUCUAAGCACAGUAUUUCACUUGCCUUCAAUUUCAACACUUCACUCAUGACUCAGGGGUAUUUCAGUAAAUGUUGGCUGGAGCAAACAGAUUCUGACAGCCCUGCAGCAAAGAGCACAGGCUUUGUCAAAAGAAGAGAUACUUCGUGGGAUUUGCCAUUAUUUAGUAUUACUCUUGUUACGCCAAGAAAUUUUUUUACAUAUAUUUUGUCAAAUAUUGCAAGUAAUGCACCAUUGUUGGUCUUGCCUGUUAUAAAUCAGAUCUUGUUCAAUUAACAACCUUUGGGUGUUUGCCACUUUCCAGUUGUAAUGCAAGGAAUCAUUUAUCUCCCCUGCCAGAUAUCACAUGUAAUGCACCAUUGUUGGUUUUGCCUGUUAUAAAUCAGAUCUUGUUCAGUUAACAAGCUUUCGGUGUCUGCCACUUUCCAGUUGUAAUGCAAAGAAUCCCCUGCCAGAUA
This is a long non-coding RNA of Eriocheir sinensis (Chinese mitten crab), 1391 nucleotides long. RefSeq lists it as uncharacterized. The record is from RefSeq and is a predicted model, not a curated record. The transcript is spliced from 3 exons. Lineage: Eukaryota; Metazoa; Arthropoda; Malacostraca; Decapoda; Varunidae.